This 764-nucleotide long non-coding RNA is filed under the name Lactuca sativa (garden lettuce). Its description in RNAcentral is "long non-coding RNA (LSAT_LNC004443)". Lineage: Eukaryota; Viridiplantae; Streptophyta; Magnoliopsida; Asterales; Asteraceae. The record is from RNAcentral.
UGCUUCCUCAUUUGUAUCUUUCUUCAUUUCAACUUCAUCAUCAUAACAUUCCAUUGGCUCCUCUUCAAUCUCACCUUUUUUCUCUUUUUCAUGAACAUCAUUGUCUUUGUUCUUUUCUUCAUUACUUGAGCAUACAUGCUCUUGUAGGUCUUCUUCUCUCUUUACUUCUUCAUUCAUAUCUUUCUCCAUUUCAACUUCAUCAUCAUUACAUUCCAUUGGCUCCUCUUCAAUCUCAACUUUUUGCUCUUUUUCCAUGAUGAUUUCUUGAUUCUUAAUGAGUUGCUCAACUUCAGGUUCCUCCUCAGGUUCUUCUUCAGGCUCCUCUUCAAUCUCAACUUUUUUCUCAUUUUCCAUGAUAAUUUCUUGAUUCUUAACGAGUUGCUCAACUUCAGGUUCCUCUUCAGGUUCUUCUUCAGGUUCCUCUUCAAUCUCAACUUUUUUUUCAUUUUCCAUGAUGAUUUCUUGAUUCUUAAUCGGUUGCUCAACUUCAGGUUCCUCUUCAGGUUCUUCUUCGGGUUCUUCUUCAAUCUCAACUUUUUUCUCAUUUUCCAUGAUGAUUUCUUGAUUCUUAAUGAGUUGCUCAACUUCGGGUUCCUCUUCGGGUUCUUCUUCAGGUUCCUCUUCAAUCUCAACUUUUUUCUCAUUUUCCAUGAUGAUUUCUUGAUUCUUGAUGAGUUGCUCAACUUCAGGUUCCUCUUCAGGUUCUUCCUCAGGUUCCUCUUCUUCCUCUAUUCGAGCUUCUACAAAGGAUUCUUGGAUCUUUA